RNAcentral lists this ribosomal RNA (508 nucleotides) under uncultured bacterium. Its description in RNAcentral is "partial 16S ribosomal RNA". It matches the Rfam family "Bacterial small subunit ribosomal RNA", at positions 28 to 507 of the family's 1533-position model. The record is from RNAcentral.
GACGAACGCUGGCGGCGUGCCUAAUACAUGCAAGUCGAGCGCAGGAAGUCAUCCGACCCCUUCGGGGGGACGUUGACGGAAUGAGCGGCGGACGGGUGAGUAACACGUAAAGAACCUGCCCUCAGGUCUGGGAUAACCACGAGAAAUCGGGGCUAAUACCGGAUGGGUCAUCGGACCGCAUGGUCCGAGGAUGAAAGGCGCUCCGGCGUCGCCUGGGGAUGGCUUUGCGGUGCAUUAGCUAGUUGGUGGGGUAAUGGCCCACCAAGGCGACGAUGCAUAGCCGACCUGAGAGGGUGAUCGGCCACACUGGGACUGAGACACGGCCCAGACUCCUACGGGAGGCAGCAGUAGGGAAUCUUCCACAAUGGACGAAAGUCUGAUGGAGCAACGCCGCGUGAACGAUGAAGGCCCUCGGGUCGUAAAGUUCUGUUGUAAGGGAAGAACAAGUGCCGCAGGCAAUGGCGGCACCUUGACGGUACCUUGCGAGAAGGCCACGGCUAACUACGUG